GGAGUUUGGGCCGUGUCUCAGUCCCAAUGUGACCGGUCACUCUCUCAAGCCGGCUACUGAUCGUCGCCUUGGUGGGCCGUUACCUCACCAACUAGCUAAUCAGACGCAGACCCAUCGCAAAGCGAUAACUUACAAGUAGAGGUCAUCUUUAACAAUACUUUCAUGCGAAAAUACUGUAACAUUCGGUAUUA
RNAcentral lists this ribosomal RNA (191 nucleotides) under uncultured Coprococcus sp. RNAcentral describes it as "partial 16S ribosomal RNA". The record is from RNAcentral. Lineage: Bacteria; Bacillati; Bacillota; Clostridia; Lachnospirales; Lachnospiraceae.